GACGAACGCUGGCGGCGUGCUUAACACAUGCAAGUCGAACGGAACGGCCCUGCUUUUGUGGGGUGCUCGAGUUGCUAACGGGUGGGUAACACGUGAGUAACCUUCCCUUUCCUUUCGGAUAACUUCCGGAAACUGGGGCUAAUACCGGAUAGGUGCUCCUGCUCCAUAUUGGGUGUUGGGGAGUUUCGGCGGGUGGGGAUUGACUCGCUGCUUAUUAGCUUGUUGGUGGAGUAGUGGGUUACCAAGGGUUUGGCGGGUAGCCGGCCUGAGAGGGUGACCGGCAACAGGGGGACAGAGAUACGGGCGAGAGUACUACGGGAGGCAGCAGAGGGGAAGAAUGCACGAUGGGCGGAAGCCUGAUGAAGGAACGCGGCGUGCGGGAUGACGGCCUGCGGGUUGGAAACCGAAGGCGCCUGUGACGAAGUGUGAGUGACGGUAACGGGUAAAGAAGCACCGGCUAACUACGUG
Molecule: ribosomal RNA, 468 nt
Filed under: uncultured bacterium
Lineage: Bacteria
Description: partial 16S ribosomal RNA
Rfam family: Bacterial small subunit ribosomal RNA
Source: RNAcentral